This 460-nucleotide ribosomal RNA is filed under the name uncultured bacterium. RNAcentral's name for it is "partial 16S ribosomal RNA". It matches the Rfam family "Bacterial small subunit ribosomal RNA", at positions 338 to 795 of the family's 1533-position model. The record is from RNAcentral.
CCUACGGGAGACAGCAGUGAGGAAUAUUGGUCAAUGGACGAGAGUCUGAACCAGCCAAGUAGCGUGAAGGAUGACUGCCCUAUGGGUUGUAAACUUCUUUUAUAUGGGAAUAAACUGUUCCACGUGUGGGAUUUUGUAUGUACCAUAUGAAUAAGGAUCGGCUAACUCCGUGCCAGCAGCCGCGGUAAUACGGAGGAUCCGAGCGUUAUCCGGAUUUAUUGGGUUUAAAGGGAGCGUAGGUGGAUUGUUAAGUCAGUUGUGAAAGUUUGCGGCUCAACCGUAAAAUUGCAGUUGAAACUGGCAGUCUGGAGUACAGUAGAGGUGGGCGGAAUUCGUGGUGUAGCGGUGAAAUGCUUAGAUAUCACGAAGAACUCCGAUUGUGAAGGCAGCUCACUGGACUGCAACUGACACUGAGGCUCGAAAGUGUGGGUAUCAAACAGGAUUAGAUACCCCAGUAGUC